AUUGAACGCUGGCGGCAUGCCUUACACAUGCAAGUCGAACGGCAGCACGGGAGCAAUCCUGGUGGCGAGUGGCGAACGGGUGAGUAAUAUAUCGGAACGUGCCCAGUCGUGGGGGAUAACGUAGCGAAAGCUACGCUAAUACCGCAUACGAUCUAUGGAUGAAAGCGGGGGAUCGCAAGACCUCGCGCGAUUGGAGCGGCCGAUAUCAGAUUAGGUAGUUGGUGAGGUAAAGGCUCACCAAGCCGACGAUCUGUAGCUGGUCUGAGAGGACGACCAGCCACACUGGAACUGAGACACGGUCCAGACUCCUACGGGAGGCAGCAGUGGGGAAUUUUGGACAAUGGGCGCAAGCCUGAUCCAGCAAUGCCGCGUGCAGGAUGAAGG
Molecule: ribosomal RNA, 384 nt
Filed under: uncultured bacterium
Lineage: Bacteria
Description: bacterial SSU rRNA
Rfam family: Bacterial small subunit ribosomal RNA
Source: RNAcentral